ACAUACGACCAUAGGGUGUGGAAAACAGGGCUUCCCGUCCGCUCAGCCGUACUUAAGCCACACGCCGGUAAGUUAGUAGUUGGGUGGGUGACCACCAGCGAAUCCUCACUGUUGUAUGAUU
RNAcentral lists this ribosomal RNA (121 nucleotides) under Penicillium salamii. The record is from RNAcentral. Lineage: Eukaryota; Fungi; Ascomycota; Eurotiomycetes; Eurotiales; Aspergillaceae.